GAUUUGGGAGUGCUCGAAGAGAACCUGCACACAGGUGCUGCAUGGCUGUCGUCAGCUCGUGUCGUGAGAUGUUGGGUUAAGUCCCGCAACGAGCGCAACCCUUGCCAUUAGUUGCUACGAAAGGGCACUCUAAUGGGACUGCCGGUGACAAACCGGAGGAAGGUGGGGAUGACGUCAAGUCCUCAUGGCCCUUAUAGGUGGGGCUACACACGUCAUACAAUGGCCGGUACAGAGGGUAGCCAACCCGCGAGGGGGAGCCAAUCCCACAAAGCCGGUCGUAGUCCGGAUCGCAGUCUGCAACUCGACUGCGUGAAGUCGGAAUCGCUAGUAAUCGCGGAUCAGCAUGUCGCGGUGAAUACGUUCCCGGGUCUU
Molecule: ribosomal RNA, 372 nt
Filed under: uncultured Allobrachymonas sp.
Lineage: Bacteria; Pseudomonadati; Pseudomonadota; Betaproteobacteria; Burkholderiales; Comamonadaceae
Description: bacterial SSU rRNA
Rfam family: Bacterial small subunit ribosomal RNA
Source: RNAcentral